CCUACCCAUCAGUCACGCAGCCGACAAUACCUAUAUUUCGAAUGUUUUUAUUAAAAAGCAAUUUAUUAACUCAAUAAUUUAUUUGGGAAUAAUUAAUCUCACAAGUAUAAUAAAUACAGAAUACAGUUAUUCUCAACACUUUGAAUACGUAUUAUAUAAACAUACAUCUAAUUAUGUAAAUAAAAUUAAAAAAAAAUUGAAAAAAAAAUUUCGUGGAUUAUUCAUUGUAACACGACAGAAACUAUUUUUUUUUUCAUCAAACUACAUUAUAAUUAACCAUAGACAAGCCAAUUUUAUGGUAACAGUCUAUAAAUACAUUUUUAACAUUGUUUUUUCUAUACCCUAAACACUGAUCUCUUAACGUCAUAUGAUAUUAAAUAUUUUAAAACGUUAAUUUUUAACUAUACGUUAAAAUAAUCAACUAUAUUGGUAAAAUCACAAUUCUCCUAAUAAUAACAUUUAUAAUAUUGCACAAAAUAGACACCGAUCGCGAUUACAAAGUUACAUUAUAUAUUUGAGCUGUCAUUUUAUCAACAAGCAUUCAAAAUGGCUGUCCGUGAAAGCGCGCGAAAACUGACAGUUCGUCGCCAUUUUUAUAUUUCUCAGUCAUUUGUGAACGUUUACAAAUGUUAUACAUAUUCAAUUACAAACAAUAAUUAAAAACGAUAGGUAUUAGUUAAGUUAAAUCAAACAAUAUUUUAGAUUAUGGCUCAGAUGACAUAGCCUUUAAGUAUUAUGACCAUCUAAGGUUUAUGGUAUCUAAGGUCUUAAAAUUUAUUUUAUUUAUUUCGAGAAAAAUAUGCAAUCUUUUUUAAAUAUUUCCCAUGAAAAUAUGUUCUCUAGAUUGUGCCGCUACCUAUGUAUUGGAACGUAAAAAACUGAUAUGUUAAUAUAUUGUACAUCACAAUGCAUAAAUAUUAUAUUUUAGGCCUAACUAUAGACGACUGAUAAAAAUCGGCUCGACAAAAGUCGGUGAAAAAAUAAUAUUUAAAAAAUUAUUAUUAGUUUACUAACAUGACGGGAUAGCCUAUGUCAAAGAAAAGGAUACCUAGAACAUGAUAAUUAAUAUGAACUAGAGGAUACCCUCGGCUUCGCCCGCAUGGAUUUCGGGUUUUUAAGAUCCCGGAGGAACUCUUCAAUUUCUUGGAUAAAAAGUAGCCUAUGUCUUUCCCCGGGAUAUAUUCCAAGUCUGUACCAAAUUUCAUUAAAUCGGCUCAGUGGUUGGGCCGUGAAAACGUCGCGACAGACAGAUAGACAGACAGACAGACACACUUUCGCAUUUAUAAUAUUAGCAGGUAAUAAUUAGUACGUAUUAGUAGUAAUAGAAAAUUGGUCACCUAAUCGUCACUAACCAAAAUUGGCUGUUGUCGGAUAUAAAUUGGAGUCCGAUUAUAAGCAGUCGUCUGCGUUAUGCCUAAUGAAAAAAAGUCUCAACGAAACUGUCAAUUUUGUCCCACCUUAGCAACUCGAGCAUAAUAUCAUAUUUUAUUCAAAAUAAUGGUAGAGGUAGUACACGGAAGAUUGAAAUGGUUUUAAUAAUGUUAAAAACGUUACGAGUACGAAAAUAGCUCAAGGUUCUCAAACUUUGCGCGACGAUUCAUUAAAAUAUUCCUAUUUUCUUAUAUACAUUUAUAGAAUAAUUCCUCUCAUAUUGACCUUUUUUAUUUUACUUAUUACAUUAUAUAUAGGUAUUUUAAAUUUACUACCGAAGAUAUGCUUCAAAUAAUGAAGUGAAAACUUUUACUCAUACGACCAUAGAUAGAUAUUAAUUAUGUGUAUUGAACGAUUUGAGCGAUUUAGAUCAACGCAUUUAGAAAAUUUAAAAUAACUAAAUAUAAAAAGAGGACCACAGAUUUAUCGUACUGAUCUGUUUUUAUUUUUAUGAUGACUUUAGGUUUUAGUUGUAUUAAUAGCCAAACUUUUUUCAGAUUACCGUGUUCUAUCUUAGACUGUACGUACGUGUCAAUAUAAAAAAAAGAAAUCGUGCUCAGUGCCUAAACUAAACCAAAAUUAAAACUGGAAAAUAGAUUCCUAUACAAUAUUUUGCUUAUUUCAAGUGAUUAUUAAGUCAAUAAAUCGCUCAAUGCAUCCAAUAUCCAUCACUAAGACUAAAAGCAUUUGCGCACAUGUAGAUAAAGGAAAAACCAUUAAAAUGCAUAGCAAAAAUAACGAAAAAAGCACUUUUUAAGUCCCACCAAAUCUCCCAUUCUAUGCUACACUCGCAUCCAAAAAUUCGGGAGUAAAAAAUAUAUUUAUUUUAGCGCAGAGCUAUAAAUGAUUUCAAGUAACCACAGAAUCUAUACACCGAGCCUUGAGUCUUUCUUAUAGGCUAGAGUUUUAGAUUUUUUUAACUUUAUCAAAGUUACCGUCAUUAGUACUAACAUAGUAUUGAUUGAACCGACACUUGUUUCGAAACUUUCAAUGCUUAUGAAUUACAAAUCAUUCAUUUUAAGGUAAAACUACUUUUUAUUCACUAUGUUAAAUUUCUCAACUAGUAUCGGUGUAACCAAUAAUGGCUCAGAUACUAUAUCUAAAUCUCUAUAAUAUUUUUACGAGCUAUUUUACAUCUGUUGGCAUUUUUUUUUCUAAAAUCGGGUUCUGAAGCUCGGUCGAGGGGUAGGUAGAGGUUUUUCUAAAUCCAAUUUUACUAUUUCAGUUUUUCAACUAAGUUACAAACGUUGACCUGUCUAUAAAUCUAUAACAACAAACUACUUGUAUUUACUAUGAACUAUUUAUCAACGUAGGUACACAAUUUUUUAAUGUAGUAAAUAUUUUCAAACUUUCCUUUUUCUUAAAGUUAAAAAAACUGCAGUUGAUGUUUUUUUAGUUUUAAAGAAAUAUCCGGUGAUGUCAUGUCAACAAAUAGUUCACAAUUGUUAUAAAAUAUUCUACAUUCUUCUAUAAAACCUUUAUAAAUGUAUACAAUAUUGAAACGGGAUCGUCAACAUCAAUUUGUCUAAGUACAUCACGGAAUGUAAGCUUCAUAACAUUAUAGUUAACAACAAGCGUAAAAUCUAUUUUAGUACAAUUUACAAUAUGUUUUAAUAAAAUAAAAAAAAUCAAACUUUAGUGUUUAAUAACCAAAAUGGCAUCCAGAAAAUAAUGCACAUCACGUUCCCUAGUUUCAAUAUCUUUUUCCAAAAAGUUUUUUUUUUUCAAUUUGCAGUCCAAUCGUUCGGGUAUUUUUGACACAAGUUAUUGCGAAGGUGCACAUUGGCAGUUCUUUAAUUUAUUAUAUUAAUUAGUCCCCAUUGCGCAAUUCAUUAAAUAUAAGUCCGUAUAGCAAAAGUUUUUAAACUCGCUAUAAAUAUGUCAUGUUAAUUAAUUUAAAGAAUCUAAACAAUUUAACAAAGAAGACUCGCUAAUGAAAUGUUAACAAUUACGAUUAAAAAAAUCAUCUACUCAUUUUUGUGCGAUACGAUACGACCAUUUAUCAUUAUUUUAACUACAAUUUAACAGUUAUAUUAUUAUUAAUAAAUAAAAUAUAUCUAACCACUUAUUUAAAACCUUAACAUCAAAUUUUUCAACUCUUACAUUUAAACGUCAAGUAUUUUUGUAGAAAGAGCAUUUAGCACAGGUAAUAUUUUGUAUUAAAUUAAUUGAAAAAAUAAUAUACAUAAUAGUAUAUGUGUAUUUAAACAUAAUUAUAAAAAUAAGUCAGAUGGCAAAGAUCCUAAGAUAAGGUAUAAUUACAUAUUAAUAAUAAUUAUUUUUUAAUUAAUAAUAAUGAAUUUAAAAGUUAUUAUUUCAAUAUUAUUAGAUAUCUAACUUAAUUUGAAUACCUACCUAGAAUAUAAUCGGUCCACAAAAUACUGUUUUCUGGUGAGUAAUGUAAAAAAAUACUGACUAACUAAUGUGAUAGUAAAAAUAAUAAUUAAUUUCACAAAAUUCUAGAGGUAGACUUACGAAAAGCAAAACCGUUGAAGUAAAUUAGUUCUAAUUUUAUAUGACCAGGCGUUUAUUUUGUUAACUUACCUUAGUUACCUAGUAGGUAGGUACUAUCUAUGUUUUACUUAAACUUAAACGAAACUAACAUUCGUGUUUUGAUAAAACAAAACAUUUGAAUAGUUUGUAUAUGACGGUAUAAUAUACUGUUAAUUUGUAAUGUACUUUGCAAACGUUUUCUUUGACAUAACUUUAUAAACUUAACUAAGUAUAAAUUGAAAUAAUUUUCGAAAUUCAGAAAGAGCGCCAUAGACCAUGAAAAUUUGAGACAUCGAUAUCACUAUGUAAUAAAUGGCUAAGUAAAAAAUGUAAGGUAAGUUUGUGAUUGGACUAAGCUUUGAAGUAUUUAAAAAGCCAAGUGCGAGCCGGACGCUUGCACAAAGGGUUCCGUACUACCACACAAUAUAAAUACUUCUAGUAAAUAACAAUAUAGACGCUAGAGCAACAUUAAGGCGACAAAAUACGAGGCGCUAAAAUGGUAGCGCCUAGCAAACAAUUCAGCACCCUCUGAAUACGGAACCCUAGUUUAGCCUAAUUAUUAAGUGUUACUGAAAUAUUAUGUUCUACAAAAUUUGGUCUUUGACACUUGAACCUAUCUAUUG
This is a long non-coding RNA of Maniola jurtina (meadow brown), 4547 nucleotides long. RefSeq lists it as uncharacterized. NCBI's taxonomy places the organism in Eukaryota, Metazoa, Arthropoda, Insecta, Lepidoptera, Nymphalidae. The record is from RefSeq and is a predicted model, not a curated record. The transcript is spliced from 3 exons.